GUGAGCUCUUCCGCUCUGGAUGAUCACUGGAGGGUAGAGUUUGUUUUUAAAGCAACAAUGUCUAUGUACAUGUUGGUGGAAAUGAUCUAGUAGAGAGGGGAAAUUGGUGUUUUAUUUAUUUAUCUAAAUAUAUGUGUAUAUGUACACAUAUAUA
Vicugna pacos (alpaca) is the source of this 154-nucleotide non-coding RNA. Lineage: Eukaryota; Metazoa; Chordata; Mammalia; Artiodactyla; Camelidae. The record is from RefSeq and is a predicted model, not a curated record.